This 452-nucleotide ribosomal RNA is filed under the name uncultured bacterium. RNAcentral describes it as "bacterial SSU rRNA". It matches the Rfam family "Bacterial small subunit ribosomal RNA", at positions 96 to 564 of the family's 1533-position model. The record is from RNAcentral.
UGGCGAACGGGUGAGUAACACGUGAGCAACCUGCCCGACAAACCGGGAUAACAGCGGGAAACUGCUGCUAAUACCGGAUACACCAGGUAUGGCGCAUGCUGUAUCUGGGAAAGGGUUUACCGAUGUCGGAUGGGCUCGCGUCCCAUUAGCUAGUUGGUGAGGUAACGGCUCACCAAGGCGACGAUGGGUAGCUGGUCUGAGAGGACGAUCAGCCACACUGGAACUGAGACACGGUCCAGACUCCUACGGGAGGCAGCAGUGGGGAAUCUUGCACAAUGGGCGAAAGCCUGAUGCAGCGACGCCGCGUGGAGGAUGAAGGCCUUCGGGUCGUAAACUCCUGUCUGGGGGGAUGAACACUGACAGUACCCCCGGAGGAAGCCCCGGCUAACUACGUGCCAGCAGCCGCGGUAAUACGUAGGGGGCGAGCGUUGUCCGGAAUUACUGGGCGUAAA